CCUACGGGAGGCAGCAGUGGGGAAUAUUGCGCAAUGGGCGAAAGCCUGACGCAGCGACGCCGCGUGAGGGAUGAAGGCCUUCGGAUCGUAAACCUCUGUCAGCAGGGAAGAACGGUCACUGUGCUAAUCAGCAGUGAAUUGACGGUACCUGCAAAGGAAGCACCGGCUAACUCCGUGCCAGCAGCCGCGGUAAUACGGAGGGUGCGAGCGUUAAUCGGAAUUACUGGGCGUAAAGCGCUCGUAGGCGGUAUGUCAAGUCAAGGGUGAAAUCCCCGAGCUCAACGUGGGAACUGCCUUUGAUACUGGCAAGCUGGAGUGUGUGAGAGGAUGGUGGAAUUCCAGGUGUAGGAGUGAAAUCCGUAGAGAUCUGGAGGAACAUCGGUGGCGAAGGCGACUAUCUGGCACAUAACUGACGCUGAGGAGCGAAAGCGUGGGUAGCAAACAGGAUUAGAUACCCCAGUAGUC
This 465-nucleotide ribosomal RNA is filed under the name uncultured bacterium. Its description in RNAcentral is "partial 16S ribosomal RNA". It matches the Rfam family "Bacterial small subunit ribosomal RNA", at positions 338 to 795 of the family's 1533-position model. The record is from RNAcentral.